This 492-nucleotide ribosomal RNA is filed under the name uncultured bacterium. RNAcentral describes it as "partial 16S ribosomal RNA". It matches the Rfam family "Bacterial small subunit ribosomal RNA", at positions 29 to 507 of the family's 1533-position model. The record is from RNAcentral.
AGUGAACGCUGGCGGUAGGCCUAACACAUGCAAGUCGAACGGCAGCACAGUAAGAGCUUGCUCUUACGGGUGGCGAGUGGCGGACGGGUGAGGAAUACAUCGGACUCUACUUUUUCGGGGGGGAUAACGUAGGGAAACUUACGCUAAUACCGCAUACGACCUACGGGUGAAAGCAGGGGAUCUUCGGACCUUGCGCGAAUGAAUGAGCCGCUGCCGGAUUGGCUGGUUGGCGGGGUAAAGGCCCACCAGGUCGACGAUCCGUAGCUGGACUGAGAGGAUGAUCGCCGGCACUGGAACGGGGCCAGGGACCAGACUACUAAGGGAGGCAGCAGAGGGGAAUAGUGGGCAAUGGGCGCAAGCAUGAUCCAGCCGUACCGCGUCUGUGAAGAAGGCCUUGGGGUUGUAAUGCCCGUCUUUUGGGAAAGAAAAGCAGCCGGUUAAGACCCCGCGGUUCUGACGGUACCCAAAGAAUAAGCACCGGCUAACUUCGUG